This 200-nucleotide unclassified non-coding RNA is filed under the name soil metagenome. Its description in RNAcentral is "partial contains internal transcribed spacer 2 and large subunit ribosomal RNA". The record is from RNAcentral.
UCGAGCGUCAUUACAACCCUCAAGCUCUGCUUGGAAAUGGGCUCCGCGGCUUACCCCGCGGGCCUUAAUAUCAGUGGCGGCGUCUUCAGGCUCUGAACGUAGUAAAUGUUCCUCGUUACGGAGUCCUGGCGGCGGUGGUCAUCAACCCCCAACUUUCUAAGUUUGACCUCGGAUCAGGUAGGGAUACCCGCUGAACUUAA